Molecule: ribosomal RNA, 496 nt
Filed under: uncultured bacterium
Lineage: Bacteria
Description: bacterial SSU rRNA
Rfam family: Bacterial small subunit ribosomal RNA
Source: RNAcentral
GAUGAACGCUGGCGGCGUGCCUAACACAUGCAAGUCGAGCGAGAAGUUUGAAAAAUGAGUUUUCGAACAAGUGAUUCAAACGGAAAGCGGCGGACGGGUGAGUAACGCGUAGGCAACCUGCCCCGUGCAGAGGGACAGCCUCGGGAAACCGGGAUUAAGACCUCAUGAUAUCGGGUUAUCACAUGGUAAUCCGGUCAAAGAUUUAUCGGCAUGGGAUGGGCCUGCGUCUGAUUAGCUAGUUGGUGAGGUAAGGGCUCACCAAGGCGACGAUCAGUAGCCGGCCUGAGAGGGUGAACGGCCACACUGGAACUGAGACACGGUCCAGACUCCUACGGGAGGCAGCAGUGGGGAAUAUUGCACAAUGGAGGGAACUCUGAUGCAGCGACGCCGCGUGAGUGAAGAAGGUCUUCGGAUCGUAAAACUCUGUCCUUGGUGAAGAAAGGACGGUAGCCAAGGAGGAAGCCCCGGCUAACUACGUGCCAGCAGCCGCGGUAAU